CUGUGGUGAAGAGUAAGAUCUUGUCUCCUAGUAAUGCACGGAAGAGGCCGGCCAGGUGUUUCAUGUACUUGAAGUCACAGGCCUUGUAGCUACCGUACUCAUUCUCCACCUGCCAGGAGAAAGGAAGAAGAGCCCAGAGAAAUGGAUAUAUCUUCGGCAGCAAGACCUCGAACCAGGAGUCCACAGCAGCAAGGAAGGCUAAAGGAAGGAGUAGUGUGUUCUGCUUUUUGGGGGACAUGACCUUUACAGCUCACGCCUCUUCCAGCAUCCCUGAUAGAUCCAAGGAGGCUCAUCCAGGCGCAUAUGAAACCACAUUUAUUCACUCAACAAAUAUUCAUGGGAGCUGAUUAUGCUUCAAGUACUGUUCUAGAUGUAUAGAAGGAAGAAGAUAGAAAGAACCUUUGUCUUAUGGAUUCUCUCCUCCGAGUGAAGGCAGACAUUAAAGAAAAAGAAAAAAGAAAGAGAAACUACAGUGUGUAUUAGUGCCAAGAAGAACAAGGCAGGAAAGGAGGCAUACAACAGGUUCAGUAUGGAAUGCUUAAAAUUUACAAGGUCGUGUCACCGAAGGUGAUUUCUGCAGAGGUGCUGAGGGAACACCACAUACAAAUGCCUUAGAACCUGAAGCUUAUGAAGAACAGCAAUUGGACAGUAUGGGACCAAAUGAGCAAGACAGGAGGGCAGACACCAGGGAGACAGGCCCAGGGCCUUGGAGACUGUUUUAAGAAGUAUGUGGUUCAUACUGAAUGAGAUGAGAGUUUAUUAGGAAGGUUUAAGCAGAUUUUUGAUUUGACCCAAGAUGUAUUUUUAAACUGUU
Molecule: long non-coding RNA, 814 nt
Organism: Meriones unguiculatus (Mongolian gerbil)
Lineage: Eukaryota; Metazoa; Chordata; Mammalia; Rodentia; Muridae
Exons: 3
Source: RefSeq, a predicted model, not a curated record